RNAcentral lists this transfer RNA (72 nucleotides) under Sphaerodactylus townsendi. Its description in RNAcentral is "tRNA-Ala". It matches the Rfam family "tRNA". From Rfam's summary of the family: Transfer RNA (tRNA) molecules are approximately 80 nucleotides in length. Their secondary structure includes four short double-helical elements and three loops (D, anti-codon, and T loops). Further hydrogen bonds mediate the characteristic L-shaped molecular structure. tRNAs have two regions of fundamental functional importance: the anti-codon, which is responsible for specific mRNA codon recognition, and the 3' end, to which the tRNAs corresponding amino acid is attached (by aminoacyl-tRNA synthetases). tRNAs cope with the degeneracy of the genetic code in two manners: having more than one tRNA (with a specific anti-codon) for a particular amino acid; and 'wobble' base-pairing, i.e. permitting non-standard base-pairing at the 3rd anti-codon position. The record is from RNAcentral. Lineage: Eukaryota; Metazoa; Chordata; Lepidosauria; Squamata; Sphaerodactylidae.
GGAGCUGUAGUUCAGUGCUAGAAUAUUUGCUCAGCAUGCAGGUGGUCCUAUGUUCAAUCCUUGGCAUCUUCA